GUAGGUGAACCUGCGGAAGGAUCAUUAACG
RNAcentral lists this non-coding RNA (30 nucleotides) under Macaca fascicularis (crab-eating macaque). Lineage: Eukaryota; Metazoa; Chordata; Mammalia; Primates; Cercopithecidae. The record is from RNAcentral. RNAcentral also lists the same sequence under 4 other names.